GACGAACCGUGCGAACGUUGUUCGGAAUCACUGGGCUUAAAGGGCGCGUAGGCGGGCUGGCAAGUCAGGGGUGAAAGCCCACGGCUCAACCGUGGAAGUGCCUUUGAUACUGCCAGUCUGGAGGGAGGUAGGGGCGUGCGGAACUUCCGGUGGAGCGGUGAAAUGCGUAGAUAUCGGAAGGAACACCGGUGGCGAAAGCGGCGCGCUGGACCUCUUCUGACGCUGAGGCGCGAAAGCCAGGG
Molecule: ribosomal RNA, 242 nt
Filed under: uncultured bacterium
Lineage: Bacteria
Description: partial 16S ribosomal RNA
Rfam family: Bacterial small subunit ribosomal RNA
Source: RNAcentral